RNAcentral lists this unclassified non-coding RNA (183 nucleotides) under uncultured fungus. Its description in RNAcentral is "sequence contains ITS1, 5.8S rRNA gene". The record is from RNAcentral. Lineage: Eukaryota; Fungi.
AUUUUGAAUUGUUUUAUUCAUAAUAUUUUUCAGACAAAGAGUUGAGAUAAUAGUUGAUGUUUGGGGUUGAUCCUCUCGAGAGAAAAAUCAACCCUGACAUUGCACACAAGGUGGAUAUGGAUUUAAAAAAGUGCCAUAAAACACUUAUUAUGAAUGAUCCUUCCGCAGGUUCACCUACGGAAA